This 1037-nucleotide long non-coding RNA is filed under the name Serinus canaria (Common canary). RNAcentral describes it as "lncRNA (ENSSCAG00000009857.1)". The record is from RNAcentral. Lineage: Eukaryota; Metazoa; Chordata; Aves; Passeriformes; Fringillidae.
GACUGCCAGGAACAGACACCAAACCAAAAAGAUUCUCAGGGUCCUUUUCCUUUCCUUUUCCUCCUUUUCCUGAGUGAUCACACCGAAUCCAAAGUGCAAUAAACCACAGAACUACUUCAAAUUAUUUUAAAAUAGCCCCGUGUUUACCAGCAGAGUUUAUUUCCUUCUUGUGCUUCUCCUAGCUUGUGAACUUUUGGAGUACCGUUUCACCCUUUAUUUCUAAGGGAACCACGGAUGUGAAUUUCCUGACAACAGAAGGAGCACAAGCAUGCACUGGAUUAUUCCGACAGCUCGUGCUGGCCCAUGGCUGAAUGCCAGCUGGGACCACACUCCUCACGGCCUGGCACAGAGGUGCUGCUGCUGCCUGUGAUGGCUUUGCUCUAAAAACCCCCGGGCAGAGCUGGUCAGCUGCCCUUCCUAGCCCUUCUCAGCCCUUCCUAGCCUUUCUCAGCCCUUCCCAGCCCUACCCGAGCUGUGAGUACUCAGCAAGGCUGGCACCUCCCGUGCCACAGACAGCGCUGUGGCCGCUGCGUAGUUUUAAGAAAAUGCAGAUGCCAAAUUUUGGCAAUUGCAGUGCCAAAGUAUAUGCCAAAUUGGUGUCGUUUCAAGAAAAUGCAAAUGCGCCUGCCUUGGCUCGGCAGCCUGUCCUGCACGGCCAGCUCAUCACCCGUGAUGGUCAGGACACCUUCCAUGGCCAGCUUGUCCUCUGUGCCCCAGCCGGGCCAUGUGUCACAGCCAAGCUGCUGUCCUUCAUGGCCAUGUCCAUCCUUCACCGUGCGGCCGCUUCACGCAUCCAGACUGUCCUUCGUGGCCAGGCCUGCUCUGAACGGCCGGGCCACUGUCCGUUGUGGCCAGGCUGGUCACCCUUCGCCAGCCAGUCCUCGGGCUGGCCGUGCGGAGCAGCCGGGCCAGGUCGAGCCGUACCCUGCGGGUCCGUGCGGGGCAGAGCGGGUCCGUGCGGUUCGGUUCGAAGCGGCUGGGUCGGUGCCNNNNNNNNNNNNNNNNNNNNNNNNNNNNNNNNNNNNNNNNNNNNNNNN